GUGUUCCCUUUGACAGCACACAUGCUCAAAUUGGAAUGGUACAGAGAAGGUUAGCAUGGCUCCUGUGCUAACAUGUAAAUUCAUGAAGCCUUCUUCCAUAUU
Molecule: small nuclear RNA, 102 nt
Organism: Meriones unguiculatus (Mongolian gerbil)
Lineage: Eukaryota; Metazoa; Chordata; Mammalia; Rodentia; Muridae
Source: Ensembl